This 253-nucleotide ribosomal RNA is filed under the name uncultured bacterium. Its description in RNAcentral is "partial 16S ribosomal RNA". It matches the Rfam family "Bacterial small subunit ribosomal RNA", at positions 524 to 776 of the family's 1533-position model. The record is from RNAcentral.
UACAGAGGGUGCGAGCGUUGUCCGGAAUCACUGGGCGUAAAGGGCGCGUAGGCGGCCUGAUAAGUAGGGGGUGAAAUCCUGUGGCUUAACUGCAGGGCUGCCUCCUAGACUGUUAGGCUCGAGCACGGUAGAGGCAGAUGGAAUUCCGCGUGUAGCAGUGAAAUGCGUAGAUAUGCGGAGGAACACCGAUGGCGAAGGCAAUCCCCUGGGCCUGCACUGACGCUCAUGCACGAAAGCGUGGGGAGCAAACAGG